This 219-nucleotide unclassified non-coding RNA is filed under the name Hevea brasiliensis (rubber tree). Lineage: Eukaryota; Viridiplantae; Streptophyta; Magnoliopsida; Malpighiales; Euphorbiaceae. The record is from RNAcentral.
UUUUUUUUCAAGACUGCCUGACACAAUUCAUUUCCUUUUUCCGAUCUCGUCUUCUUCAACCUGGGUACUGUAAAUAGUAUGUUCUAUGCAUUGUUUAGUUUCUCAUCCAAAUUUUUGUUCGUGUGAUUGAUUUUGAUGAGAACUAAGCUCCACAUAAUUGUGCAUUAUUACACUGUGUAUAUCAUCGAUCAAGAAAUUUUGUUUUUGGUUCUACCUUAU